GGAAACUGACGGAACUCUUCGGAGGGAAGGCAGUGGAAUGAGCGGCGGACGGGUGAGUAACACGUAAGGAACCUGCCUCAAGGAUUGGGAUAACUCCGAGAAAUCGGAGCUAAUACCGGAUAGUUCAACGGACCGCAUGGUCCGCUGAUGAAAGGCGCUUCGGCGUCACCUUGAGAUGGCCUUGCGGUGCAUUAGCUAGUUGGUGGGGUAAUGGCCCACCAAGGCGACGAUGCAUAGCCGACCUGAGAGGGUGAUCGGCCACACUGGGACUGAGACACGGCCCAGACUCCUACGGGAGGCAGCAGUAGGGAAUCUUCCACAAUGGACGAAAGUCUGAUGGAGCAACGCCGCGUGAGUGAUGAAGGUUUUCGGAUCGUAAAACUCUGUUGUAAGGGAAGAACACGUACGAGAGGUAAUGCUCGUACCUUGACGGUACCUUACGAGAAAGCCACGGCUAACUACGUGCCAGCAGCCGCGGUAAUACGUAGGUGGCAAGCGUUGUCCGGAAUUAUUGGGCGUAAAGCGCGCGCAGGCGGCCUUUUAAGUCUGAUGUGAAAGCCCCCGGCUCAACCGGGGAGGGCCAUUGGAAACUGGAAGGCUUGAGUACAGAAGAGAAGAGUGGAAUUCCACGUGUAGCGGUGAAAUGCGUAGAGAUGUGGAGGAACACCAGUGGCGAAGGCGACUCUUUGGUCUGUAACUGACGCUGAGGC
This 710-nucleotide ribosomal RNA is filed under the name bacterium Pu.J13C. Its description in RNAcentral is "bacterial SSU rRNA". It matches the Rfam family "Bacterial small subunit ribosomal RNA", at positions 57 to 752 of the family's 1533-position model. The record is from RNAcentral.